GCAGCGGUAACUCUGUGGGAGACCAACUAUUGCAGAUGUGAGGUGCCCCAAGGAUGUGCAGAUUCGAAAUGGGACUAUAAAGAACACAAGACCAGCAGUAGAAAUUUCUUUUUAACUGGUGAAGUGUUGCCUCACCUGGAAUGACUGUUUGGGGACCUGAAUGAAAAUGAGGGAGGAGGUAAAUGGUUUGGAGAUCGUUGGGUGUUUCAGCGCACUACAGUCUCUGAGGGGAUUCUAGGAGGCUGCUGUAGCGUGCAGGAAUCUUGUGGUGAGAAGGUUGUAAGCCGAUGCUCAUCUCCAUUUCGCCAAUUGAAGCUUCCAUUGUUCAGUGAUUAAAGUGAUGAUGCAGGCUGAAAUGCACACUGCCUGUCUUUUUAUUACUGGGUAUUCGCUCUGCUACCAGAAAGGAAAGACGGCCUUUUUAUUGCUGGUGAGAUCGCUCUGCUACACAGAAGGAGAAUGCUGCCCAGGUUUUCUGCGUUUUGAAUGUGGACGUGCUGUGGACAUUUUUUGGUCUUAUGGUUUUUUUUGUAUUGUAAUCUGUGUUUUUUGCCCAAUCUUACACAUUUUAUGUGUG
Molecule: long non-coding RNA, 577 nt
Organism: Hypanus sabinus (Atlantic stingray)
Lineage: Eukaryota; Metazoa; Chordata; Chondrichthyes; Myliobatiformes; Dasyatidae
Exons: 3
Source: RefSeq, a predicted model, not a curated record